AGCCGUCAGCAGGUCAUUUCUCUUGGACUACGCUCGAGAAACAGCAGAAUCACAGACUCUGCCUGAAGCAGUAAACUGAGAAGCCGCUGUGGGAUCAGUCGACUCUUCUUCAAACCAAGUUAACUGAUUCAAAGAAAUGGCAGAAAACACAAGAAACACCAGUGGAACUAUGAGUCCUCAACCAUAUGUCUAUCCCAAUGAAAGCGCAAGAGAGCAGGAAAAAAAGAAAUUCAGAAAGGAAGAAAGAGCACGCAGACCCGAACAGCUGUUUGUAAAUCAAAGAAAAUCGAAAGACGAUAAAUACCAGUUUUAUACUAAAGAUCCAGAAAAAUGGAGAAACUGGAUAAAAGAGGAGUUUGGUGAUGAAACUGAAACAAUAAUCACUUACAAAUAUGACACAGACAAAAGCACCAUAAUGUUACACAGCAAUGGAGAAUGUGUGAUACAUGUUUCAAAUGAGAAAAGGGGUGAAUUUCUCACAUGGUUCGGAGAAAAAGUCAAAAUUAACGUAAAGCAAGAAGAUCAAAAAACAGAAGACCUAAAUGAAAAAAUGAAAGAGUUGACAUUAAAAAAGUAACAACGAAACAACCUACAACCUUGCUCAUUGGUUGUCAUGUGAUUGUUGGGGUUUUCUCUGUGUUAUUGCAAGGUCUUCACCUUACAAUAUACAUUGUCCUGAAGCAACUGUUGUCGUGAUUUGCCUCUAAAAAGCACCACCCUUCCACAGCUCACAUAUAAUGAAAUAUUAUGUUAUCAAACCUUAUCUGUAGAGUGUAAAUCAGAACUGCUGUCUGUUGUGAAGCAUGUUUGCAGUUUUGUGGGUUUUUUUUUUUUUCUUUUUUCUUUGAAUUGACAAGAUAAUAUGUGUAAACAUUUGAUUUACUGUGCUUGGAAAUUUUUACUUUUUGUUUGCUUCACUGCACCUGUUCAAAAUAAAUUUGGAA
Molecule: long non-coding RNA, 944 nt
Organism: Pundamilia nyererei
Lineage: Eukaryota; Metazoa; Chordata; Actinopteri; Cichliformes; Cichlidae
Exons: 3
Source: RefSeq, a predicted model, not a curated record